Molecule: ribosomal RNA, 2904 nt
Filed under: Escherichia coli KTE184
Lineage: Bacteria; Pseudomonadati; Pseudomonadota; Gammaproteobacteria; Enterobacterales; Enterobacteriaceae
Description: bacterial LSU rRNA
Rfam family: Bacterial large subunit ribosomal RNA
Source: RNAcentral
UUAAGCGACUAAGCGUACACGGUGGAUGCCCUGGCAGUCAGAGGCGAUGAAGGACGUGCUAAUCUGCGAUAAGCGUCGGUAAGGUGAUAUGAACCGUUAUAACCGGCGAUUUCCGAAUGGGGAAACCCAGUGUGAUUCGUCACACUAUCAUUAACUGAAUCCAUAGGUUAAUGAGGCGAACCGGGGGAACUGAAACAUCUAAGUACCCCGAGGAAAAGAAAUCAACCGAGAUUCCCCCAGUAGCGGCGAGCGAACGGGGAGCAGCCCAGAGCCUGAAUCAGUGUGUGUGUUAGUGGAAGCGUCUGGAAAGGCGCGCGAUACAGGGUGACAGCCCCGUACACAAAAAUGCACAUACUGUGAGCUCGAUGAGUAGGGCGGGACACGUGGUAUCCUGUCUGAAUAUGGGGGGACCAUCCUCCAAGGCUAAAUACUCCUGACUGACCGAUAGUGAACCAGUACCGUGAGGGAAAGGCGAAAAGAACCCCGGCGAGGGGAGUGAAAAAGAACCUGAAACCGUGUACGUACAAGCAGUGGGAGCACAGAGCAAUCUGUGUGACUGCGUACCUUUUGUAUAAUGGGUCAGCGACUUAUAUUCUGUAGCAAGGUUAACCGAAUAGGGGAGCCGAAGGGAAACCGAGUCUUAACUGGGCGUUAAGUUGCAGGGUAUAGACCCGAAACCCGGUGAUCUAGCCAUGGGCAGGUUGAAGGUUGGGUAACACUAACUGGAGGACCGAACCGACUAAUGUUGAAAAAUUAGCGGAUGACUUGUGGCUGGGGGUGAAAGGCCAAUCAAACCGGGAGAUAGCUGGUUCUCCCCGAAAGCUAUUUAGGUAGCGCCUCGUGAAUUCAUCUCCGGGGGUAGAGCACUGUUUCGGCAAGGGGGUCAUCCCGACUUACCAACCCGAUGCAAACUGCGAAUACCGGAGAAUGUUAUCACGGGAGACACACGGCGGGUGCUAACGUCCGUCGUGAAGAGGGAAACAACCCAGACCGCCAGCUAAGGUCCCAAAGUCAUGGUUAAGUGGGAAACGAUGUGGGAAGGCCCAGACAGCCAGGAUGUUGGCUUAGAAGCAGCCAUCAUUUAAAGAAAGCGUAAUAGCUCACUGGUCGAGUCGGCCUGCGCGGAAGAUGUAACGGGGCUAAACCAUGCACCGAAGCUGCGGCAGCGACGCUUAUGCGUUGUUGGGUAGGGGAGCGUUCUGUAAGCCUGCGAAGGUGUGCUGUGAGGCAUGCUGGAGGUAUCAGAAGUGCGAAUGCUGACAUAAGUAACGAUAAAGCGGGUGAAAAGCCCGCUCGCCGGAAGACCAAGGGUUCCUGUCCAACGUUAAUCGGGGCAGGGUGAGUCGACCCCUAAGGCGAGGCCGAAAGGCGUAGUCGAUGGGAAACAGGUUAAUAUUCCUGUACUUGGUGUUACUGCGAAGGGGGGACGGAGAAGGCUAUGUUGGCCGGGCGACGGUUGUCCCGGUUUAAGCGUGUAGGCUGGUUUUCCAGGCAAAUCCGGAAAAUCAAGGCUGAGGCGUGAUGACGAGGCACUACGGUGCUGAAGCAACAAAUGCCCUGCUUCCAGGAAAAGCCUCUAAGCAUCAGGUAACAUCAAAUCGUACCCCAAACCGACACAGGUGGUCAGGUAGAGAAUACCAAGGCGCUUGAGAGAACUCGGGUGAAGGAACUAGGCAAAAUGGUGCCGUAACUUCGGGAGAAGGCACGCUGAUAUGUAGGUGAAGUCCCUCGCGGAUGGAGCUGAAAUCAGUCGAAGAUACCAGCUGGCUGCAACUGUUUAUUAAAAACACAGCACUGUGCAAACACGAAAGUGGACGUAUACGGUGUGACGCCUGCCCGGUGCCGGAAGGUUAAUUGAUGGGGUUAGCGCAAGCGAAGCUCUUGAUCGAAGCCCCGGUAAACGGCGGCCGUAACUAUAACGGUCCUAAGGUAGCGAAAUUCCUUGUCGGGUAAGUUCCGACCUGCACGAAUGGCGUAAUGAUGGCCAGGCUGUCUCCACCCGAGACUCAGUGAAAUUGAACUCGCUGUGAAGAUGCAGUGUACCCGCGGCAAGACGGAAAGACCCCGUGAACCUUUACUAUAGCUUGACACUGAACAUUGAGCCUUGAUGUGUAGGAUAGGUGGGAGGCUUUGAAGUGUGGACGCCAGUCUGCAUGGAGCCGACCUUGAAAUACCACCCUUUAAUGUUUGAUGUUCUAACGUUGACCCGUAAUCCGGGUUGCGGACAGUGUCUGGUGGGUAGUUUGACUGGGGCGGUCUCCUCCUAAAGAGUAACGGAGGAGCACGAAGGUUGGCUAAUCCUGGUCGGACAUCAGGAGGUUAGUGCAAUGGCAUAAGCCAGCUUGACUGCGAGCGUGACGGCGCGAGCAGGUGCGAAAGCAGGUCAUAGUGAUCCGGUGGUUCUGAAUGGAAGGGCCAUCGCUCAACGGAUAAAAGGUACUCCGGGGAUAACAGGCUGAUACCGCCCAAGAGUUCAUAUCGACGGCGGUGUUUGGCACCUCGAUGUCGGCUCAUCACAUCCUGGGGCUGAAGUAGGUCCCAAGGGUAUGGCUGUUCGCCAUUUAAAGUGGUACGCGAGCUGGGUUUAGAACGUCGUGAGACAGUUCGGUCCCUAUCUGCCGUGGGCGCUGGAGAACUGAGGGGGGCUGCUCCUAGUACGAGAGGACCGGAGUGGACGCAUCACUGGUGUUCGGGUUGUCAUGCCAAUGGCACUGCCCGGUAGCUAAAUGCGGAAGAGAUAAGUGCUGAAAGCAUCUAAGCACGAAACUUGCCCCGAGAUGAGUUCUCCCUGACUCCUUGAGAGUCCUGAAGGAACGUUGAAGACGACGACGUUGAUAGGCCGGGUGUGUAAGCGCAGCGAUGCGUUGAGCUAACCGGUACUAAUGAACCGUGAGGCUUAACCUU